AGACCCGAAACCCGGUGAUCUAGCCAUGGGCAGGUUGAAGGUUGGGUAACACUAACUGGAGGACCGAACCGACUAAUGUUGAAAAAUUAGCGGAUGACCUGUGGCUGGGGGUGAAAGGCCAAUCAAACCGGGAGAUAGCUGGUUCUCCCCGAAAGCUAUUUAGGUAGCGCCUCGUGAAUUCAUCUCCGGGGGUAGAGCACUGUUUCGGCUAGGGGGCCAUCCCGGCUUACCAACCCGAUGCAAACUGCGAAUACCGGAGAAUGUUAUCACGGGAGACACACGGCGGGUGCUAACGUCCGUCGUGAAGAGGGAAACAACCCAGACCGCCAGCUAAGGUCCCAAAGUCAUGGUUAAGUGGGAAACGAUGUGGGAAGGCCCAGACAGCCAGGAUGUUGGCUUAGAAGCAGCCAUCAUUUAAAGAAAGCGUAAUAGCUCACUGGUCGAGUCGGCCUGCGCGGAAGAUGUAACGGGGCUAAACCAUGCACCGAAGCUGCGGCAGCGACACUGUGUGUUGUUGGGUAGGGGAGCGUUCUGUAAGCCUGUGAAGGUGGCCUGUGAGGGUUGCUGGAGGUAUCAGAAGUGCGAAUGCUGACAUAAGUAACGAUAAAGCGGGUGAAAAGCCCGCUCGCCGGAAGACCAAGGGUUCCUGUCCAACGUUAAUCGGGGCAGGGUGAGUCGACCCCUAAGGCGAGGCCGAAAGGCGUAGUCGAUGGGAAACGGGUUAAUAUUCCCGUACUUGGUGUUACUGCGAAGGGGGGACGGAGAAGGCUAUGUUGGCCGGGCGACGGUUGUCCCGGUUUAAGCGUGUAGGUGUGUGUUCCAGGUAAAUCCGGUUCACUUUAACACUGAGGCGUGACGACGAGGCACUACGGUGCUGAAGCAACAAAUGCCCUGCUUCCAGGAAAAGCCUCUAAGCAUCAGGUAACAUCAAAUCGUACCCCAAACCGACACAGGUGGUCAGGUAGAGAAUACCAAGGCGCUUGAGAGAACUCGGGUGAAGGAACUAGGCAAAAUGGUGCCGUAACUUCGGGAGAAGGCACGCUGACACGUAGGUGAAGUGAUUUACUCAUGGAGCUGAAGUCAGUCGAAGAUACCAGCUGGCUGCAACUGUUUAUUAAAAACACAGCACUGUGCAAACACGAAAGUGGACGUAUACGGUGUGACGCCUGCCCGGUGCCGGAAGGUUAAUUGAUGGGGUCAGCGCAAGCGAAGCUCCUGAUCGAAGCCCCGGUAAACGGCGGCCGUAACUAUAACGGUCCUAAGGUAGCGAAAUUCCUUGUCGGGUAAGUUCCGACCUGCACGAAUGGCGUAAUGAUGGCCAGGCUGUCUCCACCCGAGACUCAGUGAAAUUGAACUCGCUGUGAAGAUGCAGUGUACCCGCGGCAAGACGGAAAGACCCCGUGAACCUUUACUAUAGCUUGACACUGAACAUUGAGCCUUGAUGUGUAGGAUAGGUGGGAGGCUUUGAAGUGUGGACGCCAGUCU
Molecule: ribosomal RNA, 1485 nt
Filed under: Salmonella enterica subsp. enterica serovar Mbandaka
Lineage: Bacteria; Pseudomonadati; Pseudomonadota; Gammaproteobacteria; Enterobacterales; Enterobacteriaceae
Description: partial 23S ribosomal RNA
Rfam family: Bacterial large subunit ribosomal RNA
Source: RNAcentral